Molecule: long non-coding RNA, 3220 nt
Filed under: Sus scrofa (pig)
Lineage: Eukaryota; Metazoa; Chordata; Mammalia; Artiodactyla; Suidae
Description: lncRNA (ENSSSCG00000061890.1)
Source: RNAcentral
GGAUCUGAGCCGCGUCUGCAACCUACACCACAGCUCACGGCAAUGCCAGAUCCUUAACCCACUGAGCAAGGUCAGGGAUCAAACCCGCAACCUCACAAUUCCUAGUCAGAUUCGUUAACCACUGCGCCACGAUGGGAACUCCCAAUAUAUAUACAUUUAAAUUUAAGUUAUUGUUACCACCCUGGGAAGAUUAUGAAGUAAUAGUGGGGAGGCAAAGACUUUAAAAGGUAUGGAUAAUAAUAUAAAUGUAGCAUAUGGUUUAAAAGUGUUUUACUUUUCUCUUUUACUCUUCAUUACUCUUUUUCAACCAGAUUCCUCUAAGUAAGCAGUAUUUUUAAGCUAUAAAUCACAAAGCAGAUCUUGUAACUCCCUUAAUAUCUUCUGAAUUAACUUGAUAGCUGGCCUCUGGCUGACUGAUUGCAUUUUUAAAGGAAACUUGGGGGAGGGGAGGAGAAAUACAUCUCAAAGCCACUACUGCUAUUGCUUUUAUGUAUUUGCCUCUAAAAUAUAGAUUCCAUAAAAUCUGCCUAUGUGACUACUUAUAAAAAGAUGCAAAUAAGUUCAGAUUCUAGUUAAAGAAAAAAAUAAGCUAUAGAUUCCAUUUGGAUUAUCUUUGGUAUUAACUAAUAUUCUUGAUUUCCAUAAUUUGAAGUUCAUAAUUUAAAAAUUCUUCUAAGAGUUCCCACUGUGGGUUAGAAAUCCCCUGCUGGCUGCAGAGGUGCAGAGUCAAUACCCAGGCAAGUUCAGUGGGUUAAAGGAUCCAGUGUUGCCAUGAUUGCAGCAUAGGUUGCAGCUGUGGGUUGGACUCAGUCCCUUGCCCAGGAACUUCCAUAUGUUGUAAGGGAGGCCAUACUAAAUAAAUAAAUUAAUUUGGGUGAAAAUACUUAUGAUAAUUUUGGAGAAAAAUAAUAGUAGUGAGAGGGAACCAAUUAGUAAAACUUUUAUUAUUAAAAUUUUAUUAUUAAAACUAUUAUAGCUUGAUUAUUAUAAAGCUAUAAUAACUAAAAAAACUGAUAUUGAUGCAAGAAAUGAGACAGGUGGGACUUGAUCCAGUAAUAGAUACUGUAAGAUAUGACCCUAAUAUCAGAUAAUGUAAGCAUUACUAACGUAAGCUGGGUCAUUUUUAUUGUCUUGAAACUUUGCUGAGAUGCCAGUCUCAAGACCAUAGAGAUAUUUGAUCCACAUAUUGUAAACAGAAGAUCUAGACACACUCCCCAUGGCACUUACAAUGCAACAUGCUUCACCUAUCAUCCACUUUCAGGCCAUAAGGUAGGAAUUCAAAGGAAGGUUUUUUCCCCAGAGUGAGGUUUUCUUUGGAGAAAACCAUACACUUGGUAAAGAAUACUAUAUGCUUCUCCUCCAUUCCUCACACUGGGCAAAGUCUUGUUUUUUCAAGAUUUUCCAAGACAAGUGAGGAGGGCUUUAAGUGAACAACUUACCAGGUGUGAUUUGUCUGAUAGGAGGUAUUUCAUCACCUAGGCUGGAAGCCGCUGAACUGUAAAAAUAGAUCUUGCCUGGUAUGACUAUUAAAACAGAACGUGGUGAGAAAAUCAUUAGAGGAAUUUAUCUGGAUCCUCUGGAAUUCACGGAACAUAGAGAUUUCUAUCUGAUUCUCCCCUGGAAAAGUCUGAUUUUGACAGGCUGUCUUGAAUUGCUUUAGGUGGCAGGUCCAAAACUCAUCUCGAGAUUUGAGUGGACUGAGUUUUUCUGUGAUGCCAUGAAGACAACUUGGAAGGAAGUGGUUCUAGACUAGCGCCAUUUUGAAAGGUCUUCUCCAAAGAACUCCCUGCCUGGAUGAGUGGACUUCAGCAGGAAGAGGAUGUGUGGGGUGUACCAGGAAAGCAGGGUUUGAAGGGAAGUCUUAUGAGGUCCACAGGAAUGUACAUUAUCUUUAAACUGGGCAGAAGUCCAAGGAGACAGAGUAUAGUAUAUCUUCAAAUAACUCACUAAAUGACCCCUUAAGAGACAGUGUUAGCCUUUGGAUAACUGCCACUGAAGAGAGCUUUCAAUAUCCAGCCAAGUGAAAAGAUAUGCUUGCUUCUCUUCCCUCUGAUUCCCAGCUUCUUAUCCUUAACUUGGAAAAGCCAGAAAUAGCAGUGAGUAAAUGGAGAGAAAGUAGUGAAUAAAACCAAAACUGUCCAACUACACCUGGAAGCAAAGAGGAGAUGCUUUAAAUUGAAUGUAAGGUAAAAUUUUUAAAAGUUCAUUUGGAUGGGAAUUUUUAGUACUUAAAAAAUAAGGGCUAUGAGGGACUUCCCUGGUGUCUAAUGGUUAGGACUUGGUGCUUUCACUGCUGCAGCCUGGGUUCAGUCCCUACUCUGGGAACUAAGAUCACACAUUAAGCCACUGCACAGUGCAUAAAAUUAAAAAAAAAUUAAAGAUGAUUUACUGCUUAGAUAUUUUAAAAAUUUAGGAAAAUAAGGCUCGAAAUUGGCUGUAAAAGCAAUGGGAAUCCAUGGUGGUUUUUAAAUAUGUCUGUAAAUUCUUUGACACUCUUCCUAUCGAAAGAUAGAAUCCCUUCCCCUCUCCUUGUACCUGGUGAGCCUUUGUGACUGUUGCAAUGAAUGAAACAUGGCAGAAUUUGCCCUGGCUGACUUCCGAGGCUGCAUCAGAUAGGGAAUGCAGCCUCCCUGCUAGCUUCUCUUUGGCCCUGACUCUGGGAGCCUUCAGCUACCAUGGAAGAAGUUUGGCUAUUUUGAGGCCAUCAUGUGGAAAUACUACAUGCAGAGAUCAUAUUAAGAGAGAGACAUGGAGACAGAAAGAGAGAGGCUCAUCAACAGCAGGGCUGCGACUAGGCAGGGGUGAAUGAAGUGAGUGUGGUGCUCACCCUGGCAAAAAAUUUAAGGGAUGGGGUAGCAAAAAACCUAAUAAUCAAGGUAAAUCAUAUUUUUAUGCACUAUGAACAGAAAUAAAAGUCAAGGUAAAUGAUGAAUAAUACAUCAGCAUUUUAAAUAAAUAUAGGAUCAUUAUUCCAGAUUGUUCCUUUUUGUUCCGACUUCUGUAUGGCUUUGCAUGUCACCUUUACUCAUCUGAUUGAUUACAAAGAACCCAAGGCAACUUUCUGGGGUGAUGGGAAUAUUUUACAUCUUGAUUCAUUGGUGUCUAUGUCAUUGUCAUUGUCAAAAUGGAUUGAAAUGCACACUUGAGAUCCGUACAUUGUACUGUUUGUCAUCUACCACUAUGUGUAUAAGUGUUUUGAAGAGUGAAUAAAACAUGUGAU